Molecule: ribosomal RNA, 484 nt
Filed under: uncultured bacterium
Lineage: Bacteria
Description: partial 16S ribosomal RNA
Rfam family: Bacterial small subunit ribosomal RNA
Source: RNAcentral
AUUGAACGCUGGCGGCAGGCCUAACACAUGCAAGUCGAGCGGAUGAAGGGAGCUUGCUCCUGGAUUCAGCGGCGGACGGGUGAGUAAUGCCUAGGAAUCUGCCUGGUAGUGGGGGAUAACGUCCGGAAACGGGCGCUAAUACCGCAUACGUCCUGAGGGAGAAAGUGGGGGAUCUUCGGACCUCACGCUAUCAGAUGAGCCUAGGUCGGAUUAGCUAGUUGGUGGGGUAAAGGCCUACCAAGGCGACGAUCCGUAACUGGUCUGAGAGGAUGAUCAGUCACACUGGGACUGAGAAACGGUCCAGACUCCUAAGGGAGGCAGCAGUGGGGAAUAUUGGACAAUGGGCGAAAGCCUGAUCCAGCCAUGCCGCGUGUGUGAAGAAGGUCUUCGGAUUGUAAAGCACUUUAAGUUGGGAGGAGGGGCAGUAAGUUAAUACCUUGCUGUUUUGACGUUACCAACAGAAUAAGCACCGGCUAACUUCGUG